RNAcentral lists this ribosomal RNA (1340 nucleotides) under Paraisaria sp. RNAcentral describes it as "partial large subunit ribosomal RNA". It matches the Rfam family "Eukaryotic large subunit ribosomal RNA", at positions 68 to 1414 of the family's 3401-position model. The record is from RNAcentral. Lineage: Eukaryota; Fungi; Ascomycota; Sordariomycetes; Hypocreales; Ophiocordycipitaceae.
ACAGGGAUUGCCCCAGUAACGGCGAGUGAAGCGGCAACAGCUCAAAUUUGAAAUCUGGCCCCCCCGCCCGCGGGGGCCCGAGUUGUAAUUUGCAGAGGAUGCUUUCCGGCGCAGCGCCUUCCGAGUUCCCUGGAACGGGACGCCGCAGAGGGUGAGAGCCCCGUACGGUCGGACGCGUAGCCACUGUAAAGCUCCCUCGACGAGUCGAGUAGUUUGGGAAUGCUGCUCUAAACGGGAGGUAUAUGUCUUCUAAAGCUAAAUACUGGCCAGAGACCGAUAGCGCACAAGUAGAGUGAUCGAAAGAUGAAAAGCACUUUGAAAAGAGAGUUAAAGAGCACGUGAAAUUGUUGAAAGGGAAGCGCUCGCGACCAGACUUGGGCCCCUGGGGGAUCAUCCGGCGUUCUCGCCGGUGCACUCCGCCGGGCCCAGGCCAGCAUCAGUUCGCCGCGGGGGACAAAGGCGCAGGGAACGUGGCUCCCCCACGGGGGAGUGUUAUAGCCCGGCGCGCAAUGCCCCGCGCGCGGACUGAGGCACGCGCUCCGCAAGGAUGCUGGCGUAAUGGUCCCCAGCGACCCGUCUUGAAACACGGACCAAGGAGUCGUCCUCGUAUGCGAGUGUUCGGGCGUCAAACCCCUACGCGUAAUGAAAGUGAGCGGCAGGUGAGAGCUUCGGCGCAUCAUCGACCGAUCCCGAUGGUUCUUCCCGGACGGAUUUGAGUAGGAGCAUACGGGGCCGGACCCGAAAGAAGGUGAACUAUGCCUGUAUAGGGUGAAGCCAGAGGAAACUCUGGUGGAGGCUCGCAGCGGUUCUGACGUGCAAAUCGAUCGUCAAAUAUGGGCAUGGGGGCGAAAGACUAAUCGAACCUUCUAGUAGCUGGUUUCCGCCGAAGUUUCCCUCAGGAUAGCAGUGUCGAGGCCUCCAGUUUUAUGAGGUAAAGCGAAUGAUUAGGGACCCGGGGGCGCCAUCUAGCCUCCAUCCAUUCUCAAACUUUAAAUAUGUAAGAAGCCCUUGUUACUUGGGUGAACGUGGGCCUUCGAAUGCAUCGACACUAGUGGGCCAUUUUUGGUAAGCAGAACUGGCGAUGCGGGAUGAACCGAACGCGAGGUUAAGGUGCCAGAGUAGACGCUCAUCAGACACCACAAAAGGCGUUAGUACAUCUUGACAGCAGGACGGUGGCCAUGGAAGUCGGAACCCGCUAAGGACUGUGUAACAACUCACCUGCCGAAUGUACUAGCCCUGAAAAUGGAUGGCGCUCAAGCGUCUCACCCAUACCUCGCCCUCGGGGUGGAAGCGAAGCCCCGAGGAGUAGGCGGACGUGGGGGUCUGUGACGAAGCCCAGG